Molecule: ribosomal RNA, 895 nt
Filed under: Geniculifera effusa
Lineage: Eukaryota; Fungi; Ascomycota
Description: LSU rRNA
Rfam family: Eukaryotic large subunit ribosomal RNA
Source: RNAcentral
GGAGGAAAAGAAACCAACAGGGAUUGCCUCAGUAACGGCGAGUGAAGCGGCAAGAGCUCAAAUUUGAAAUCUGGAGCUUUCAGCUUCCGAGUUGUAAUUUGAAGAGGAUGUUUCGGUUGCGGCCACGGCCCAAGUUCCUUGGAACAGGACGUCAUGGAGGGUGAGAAUCCCGUACCUGGCUGCUGGCUUGCUUCCAUGUGAAACUCCUUCGAAGAGUCGAGUUGUUUGGGAAUGCAGCUCAAAAUGGGUGGUAAAUUUCAUCUAAAGCUAAAUAUUGGCGGGAGACCGAUAGCGCACAAGUAGAGUGAUCGAAAGAUGAAAAGCACUUUGAAAAGAGAGUUAAACAGUACGUGAAAUUGUUGAAAGGGAAGCGCUUGCAAUCAGACUCGCUUUCGGUUGAUCAACGUUCCUUCUGGUUCGUGCACUCUGCCGUUGGCGGGCCAGCAUCAGCUGGGGCGGUGGGACAAAGACGGCGGGAAUGUGGCUCUCUUCGGGGAGUGUUAUAGCCUGUUGUGCAAUGCCACCAGCCCCGGCUGAGGUCCGCGGUUCGCCUAGGAUGCUGGCUUAAUGGUUGUAAGCGACCCGUCUUGAAACACGGACCAAGGAGUCUAACAUCUAUGCGAGUCUUUGGGUGUCAAACCCAUGGGCGUAAUGAAAGUGAACGGAGGUGGGAGUCUUCGGAUGCACCAUCGACCGAUCCUGAUGUUCUCGGAUGGAUUUGAGUAGGAGCAUAGCUGUUGGGACCCGAAAGAUGGUGAACUAUGCCUGAAUAGGGUGAAGCCAGAGGAAACUCUGGUGGAGGCUCGCAGCGGUUCUGACGUGCAAAUCGAUCGUCAAAUUUGGGUAUAGGGGCGAAAGACUAAUCGAACCAUCUAGUAGCUGGUUCCUGCCGAAG